This is a long non-coding RNA of Chinchilla lanigera (long-tailed chinchilla), 1840 nucleotides long. RefSeq lists it as uncharacterized. The transcript has 4 exons. The record is from RefSeq and is a predicted model, not a curated record. NCBI's taxonomy places the organism in Eukaryota, Metazoa, Chordata, Mammalia, Rodentia, Chinchillidae.
CUCAUAGCUUAUUUUGGAGCACGGUCUGGAGUCUUUGAGGAGUGUACCAGCAUGUGGUCAGCUAGAGGCCCUCAGGCCCUUCGUAAAGCUCCUUUCUGUGGCAGAACCAGCACAAGUAGCUGGCUACAAGGAUUUAGAGCUCCGUGGUAGAUGCUGUGCCUUGCAUAGUGGUAUAUGGUAUGUCUGCGCCAGGUGGAAUUCAGUGAGUGGUCAAUGAGUGACUUAAAGUAUCUGAAGGGCUAUCACCUUUUAAUCAAACAGACAGGUUAGUGCUUCCUCCUAACGUUGGCUGCUGCAUCAGAGAACCUCAAACAAGGCUGGAGCCAGGCUGACUUUUGAAAGGUCUGCCUUCCAAGUUCAUCCUUUCCCUUCUAGAGACCUUACCUAAGAGACGCUUUGUGAAAAUCAGCUUUACUUCUGAGGACCUCUAGACAGACUGUAACCUUGUUUAGCAAUUAUGACAAGGAUAUAGCAAGUCCUUUUGGAAAAAUUUCUCACAGCCACAUGCUCCAUGCCCCCUGCUCCAUGUUAUAGCAAGAUUCCUUAGGCCUCAGCGAAAAUGGCUUGGUAUGCGGCCACCAGCAAGGUAGGACUGUGGCCCCUUGUAAGCUCAGUGAAAGGCACAAGUCCUGAAAUAUGCUACUGAGCUAUCCAAGAGCUGGAGAGAGGAAACCAAAACCUGUCUGAAGGUAGAAGUGCCUGAUUUGAACAAAUGAGUUGAGAAUGAAUGCUGCAAAUGGAAUAAUUCCGCACUGAAACAAAAACAAAAACAAACACAGAGGCCUCAGAGCUUCUAAAUCCAAGUGAUUACUUCAAGGUGUGGAGGGAGUUCAACCAUCAUUUGGGAACUGAAAACCCGCUCUUAUGAUUGAACUAGAUUUGGCCUUGAAUUCACUGUGAAGGGGAAAAGAUGGCCAGCAACGCAUCCUCAGCUGCCCUCUUCCAUUUUCCUUUCUUCACUGGCCAAGGGGGACUGGGAGAUAAGCAUCAUUGUGUUAAAUAUGUCCUUGAGGGUUUGUGUGGGAUGCUGGGCAUAAAACAAGGAUCUGAGGAGACCAUCGGUACCUGUGAGUGGAGUUGGAGCAGCAAAUCAAAUCUCUGGGUAAGAUGGGCUGGAGGUUAGUGAGCUUUUGGUCCCCAAGGACAUAGAGCAAAUCCUGUUCUCCCCUGGAUGAGCACCAACUCCACAUUAAACAAUCCGACUCAAUCACUUGGUUAGAGCUGCUUCUGUCCUUAAAGGUAAUCACCAUUAGCAGUGAGUUAUAUCAUACGGGGCAACCAACCAGAAAAUAAGACAAUGAGAUCCUAUUUUACUACUAACUAGUGUUACAACAAUGUUCUGCAAACUCCAGAGCUUCAGUUUCUUCACCUAUCAAAAGGAGAAGGCUGCAGUUCUGGCUUUAAUGGUCUCUGAUUUAGAGAGAUGGUAUUGAAGUACAACUGGAUUAUGUACAAGCAGUUCCAGGGGCAUCUUGAAAAAGAGCAGGAGAGAGUUAGUACUACUGUAGGAACAUUCAUUGUUGGAUGGGGUAUUGUUAUGGAGGCAGCUACACAUUUACUAGAAGAGAGAUAUAACCACAAAAGAGAGCCCACAUGAUAUUUAAGUAAAUGACAUGAGUCUAACUGGAGCCACCACUUAAGAAUGCUUUUACCUUACAUGUGUAAAAAUUAAAGAAACCUAGAAGGCCUAUUUAGGAAAAGGAAAUGAUAUUACAAGAUGAAGAAUAUAUGUUACAAUUAUCCUAGCUGUCUUCAUAAAAAGAGGGGAUUGGCUAUUUAACAACUUUAUUUUCAAAUGCUUCUGUAAUUUACAGACUUUCAUUAAGGUAAUGAUCUAAUG